GGCGAACGCUGGCGGCGUGCUUAACACAUGCAAGUCGAACGGAAAGGCCCUGCUUUUGUGGGGUGCUCGAGUGGCGAACGGGUGAGUAACACGUGAGUAACCUGCCCUUGACUUUGAGAUAACUUCAGGAAACUGGGGCUAAUACCGGCUAGGAGCUCCUGCUGCAUGGUGGGGGUUGGAAAGUUUGGGCGGUUGGGGAUGGACUCGCGGCUUAUCAGCUUGUUGGGGGGGUAGUGGCUUACCAAGGAUUUGACGGGUAGCCGGACUGGAAGGGUGACCGGCCCCAUUGGGACUGGGAUACGGCCCGGAGUGAUUCGGGGGGCAGCGGUGGGAACUAUUGCAAGCCGGGCCGAGGCCUGGUGCAGGGUCGCCGGGUGCGAGAUGACGGCCUUCGGGUUGUAAGCGGAUUUCGCCUGUGACGAGGCGUGAGGGCGGGUACUGGGUAAAGAGGCACCGGCUACCUACGG
Molecule: ribosomal RNA, 467 nt
Filed under: uncultured bacterium
Lineage: Bacteria
Description: partial 16S ribosomal RNA
Rfam family: Bacterial small subunit ribosomal RNA
Source: RNAcentral